Molecule: long non-coding RNA, 1103 nt
Organism: Papaver somniferum (opium poppy)
Lineage: Eukaryota; Viridiplantae; Streptophyta; Magnoliopsida; Ranunculales; Papaveraceae
Exons: 5
Source: RefSeq, a predicted model, not a curated record
AUAAUUAUUCUUCCGUUACAGUGUUAAACACAAACAAAAAACUCACAACCCCCUUGACUCUUGGAUUCAAGAGAAGAAAAAAGAAUACGGAAUAUUGUAUUGUUAGUUGAAGGUCUCAUUUUUCUUCUUAUCCUAAUUCUGAGUUAUCUCACUCUCUUUGCUAUCGACAAAAAGGCUUUGGGAGGAUACUACAGGAUGGAACAUGAAUUCUUGGUGUAGCAAUUCACUUUAACUCUAGCGUUUUGGGCGAGUUAGAUUUAUGGAGACUAAUGAUAUCACCAGGUUGGAUGCGUUCUCGAAGACAAUGUAGUUGCUUUGUCGGAACUAAUCUCUUACUGGAUCACAUUAAGAAUGUUUCGACGGAUCAAUCACGAAAGCUAUAUGUUAUAUGAUAUAAACCAAGUUAGGAAUACGUCUACAUUGACCUCUCCAUUUGUCCAACUAAAGAGUUUAGACCUUGUGCGUUGGGCUGGAGACUAAAUUCGCAUGCAAAUUAUGGUGAUAAUUUUUUAAAAAAAUUUCUUUAUUGUAUCAUAUUUGAUGAGUGGAAGUCGAGGAGUUGAAGUGUUACUUAUCACUGGGUGGCAUCUCAAUCCUUGGGCACAAGUUCAACUUCAUAAGAUGCCGAAAUUUGCACUCCGUUAACACAUAUAUAACAGGAAAUGACCACAUGAAGGUGACUGAAGGGUUUGAAUACAAAGCCUAUAAGAUUCAUUGCCACACACAUCCUGUACACAUGAUGGCAGUAGCAGCUCCCCAACGUUGGCUAAGGUUAAAAUAUUCACACAUACAGCUUCCGGUGCAUAAUUUUCUUAGAAGUUGCAGAUAAUUCGACAAAAGAAAGAGUGACCAAGACAAGGUCGUUGUAUGCCCAAGUCAGAUGUCAAUCGAGUAAAUGAAUAUUGUUCCCCCCUUUUAUUCUAUUGAUCAUUUAGUGACCAUGCAAGGUUUUUCGUAUGAUGUGUUUUAGUGUAAUGUUUUAUGAAUCAUAUACGAACAAUUGAGCUCCAAAGUUGGUUAAAUUAGACGGAUCUGUGGAUUUCCUUUGGUUUAGUUAAAUUUGUAAUCCUUUAUAGCGUUUAAUUUUUGGGAUUUAUAAGUUU